Molecule: ribosomal RNA, 274 nt
Filed under: uncultured bacterium
Lineage: Bacteria
Description: partial 16S ribosomal RNA
Rfam family: Bacterial small subunit ribosomal RNA
Source: RNAcentral
AUACGAAAGGGGCUAGCGUUGUUCGGAAUUACUGGGCGUAAAGCGCACGUAGGCGGCAUUGUAAGUUGGGGGUGAAAUCCCGGAGCUCAACUCCGGAACUGCCUCCAAAACUACAAAGCUUGAGGAUGUGAGAGGAGAGUGGAAUUCCAAGUGUAGAGGUGAAAUUCGUAGAUAUUUGGAAGAACACCAGUGGCGAAGGCGACUCUCUGGCACAUUUCUGACGCUGAGGUGCGAAAGCGUGGGGAGCAAACAGGAUUAGAAACCCCGGUAGUCC